This 74-nucleotide transfer RNA is filed under the name Caldifarciminota bacterium. RNAcentral's name for it is "candidate division WOR-3 bacterium (hot springs metagenome) tRNA-Lys". It matches the Rfam family "tRNA". From Rfam's summary of the family: Transfer RNA (tRNA) molecules are approximately 80 nucleotides in length. Their secondary structure includes four short double-helical elements and three loops (D, anti-codon, and T loops). Further hydrogen bonds mediate the characteristic L-shaped molecular structure. tRNAs have two regions of fundamental functional importance: the anti-codon, which is responsible for specific mRNA codon recognition, and the 3' end, to which the tRNAs corresponding amino acid is attached (by aminoacyl-tRNA synthetases). tRNAs cope with the degeneracy of the genetic code in two manners: having more than one tRNA (with a specific anti-codon) for a particular amino acid; and 'wobble' base-pairing, i.e. permitting non-standard base-pairing at the 3rd anti-codon position. Lineage: Bacteria; Pseudomonadati; Caldifarciminota. The record is from RNAcentral.
GGGCCGUUAGCUCAGGCUGGUAGAGCACCUGAUUUUUAAUCAGGUGGCCGCAGGUUCGAGUCCUGCACGGCCCA